Long non-coding RNA from Eupeodes corollae, 889 nucleotides. RefSeq lists it as uncharacterized. Lineage: Eukaryota; Metazoa; Arthropoda; Insecta; Diptera; Syrphidae. The transcript is spliced from 4 exons. The record is from RefSeq and is a predicted model, not a curated record.
CUGGCAAACUGUUCUUUCAAACUAUUUGAAGCGCUUUUUUAGGCCAUUCAAUAUUCGCAAUAUUUUAAUUAAAUGCAAAACCUCAAAAAAUACUUGGCUAAACUAGUUCUAGUGAAUUCUAAGAGAAUCGAGUUUUAAGUUCUUCGAAAUUUAGCUUUCGAUAAAAUUAUAUUUAAAUAAUUACAAUUUUUUUUGACUUCAAAAUCAAAUAUGUAAAAUCGUAGGAAAAAAAAACGAAAUUGAAAUAAGAAAAUUAUUUCGAUUAAAAACUCUUUUCCUUUCGGACUAUUCAAUGAAUUUUCAUCAGGUAUAAUCAAGUCCGUUUUUUAGGUGGAAGUAUCUUCGAUAAGUUAAAGAGCAAAACAUAACUUGGAAAUCAAUAUGUUGCGGAAAGUUUAAAGAACUACAAUCAUAAUUACUGGAGUAUGUGCUAUUAAAAAAGAGAUAAAACCGAAGUUUUUUAAAAAUUGAAGUGCAUGGAAAGGAAGCAUUGCUUAGUUUUUAAACAAAUAAAAAGUAUUCGUUUCAAAUGUAAUAAUUGAAAUGUAAGCACUGUAGAAAAGAAACGACGAAGACGAAAACGAAGACAAAGUAACAACAACGAUUUGCAACGACGAAGGAACGGAACGGAUGAAGUAGAAAUAAUUUAUUUAUUAUUAUUUAAAAAUAAAAAAAAUAUAUUCAAGACGUGGACUCUCUAUUAUAGCCACUGCCACUGCCACAGCGACUACCGGUGCAAGUGAGAAAAGCAAUCCAUAAAAGUUCGAAAAAUUAUAGCAGACAGAGUCACAGGCACGGCACGGCACAGAACAGCUAACAGCACAGUCACAAAGUUUAAACUUGGAGCAAAUAAAAUAUGAUGAUUAAAUAAAGCAACAAAAAUUAAAGA